MicroRNA precursor from Oryza sativa Japonica Group (Japanese rice), 206 nucleotides. It matches the Rfam family "MIR812 microRNA precursor family". The record is from Rfam. NCBI's taxonomy places the organism in Eukaryota, Viridiplantae, Streptophyta, Magnoliopsida, Poales, Poaceae.
AAUGUCUGACGCCGUUGACUUUUUAUCACAUGUUUGACCGUUCGUCUUAUUCAAAAAAUUUAAGUAAUUAUUAAUUCUUUUUCUAUCAUUUGAUUCAUUGUUAAAUAUAUUUUUAUGUAGGCAUAUAAUUUUACAUAUCUCAUAAAAGUUUUUUGAAUAAGACGAACGGUCAAACAUAUGCUAAAAAGUCAACGGUGUCAAACAUU